This 77-nucleotide transfer RNA is filed under the name Gammaproteobacteria bacterium. RNAcentral describes it as "tRNA-Arg". It matches the Rfam family "tRNA". Rfam says of the family: Transfer RNA (tRNA) molecules are approximately 80 nucleotides in length. The record is from RNAcentral. RNAcentral also lists the same sequence under 1 other name. Lineage: Bacteria; Pseudomonadati; Pseudomonadota; Gammaproteobacteria.
GCCCUGGUGGCACAACUGGAUAGCGCGUCCCCCUCCUAAGGGGAAGGUUGCAGGUUCGACCCCUGCCCAGGGCACCA